This 71-nucleotide transfer RNA is filed under the name Bos taurus (domestic cattle). It matches the Rfam family "tRNA". Rfam says of the family: Transfer RNA (tRNA) molecules are approximately 80 nucleotides in length. RNAcentral also lists the same sequence under 5 other names. The record is from Rfam by way of RNAcentral. Lineage: Eukaryota; Metazoa; Chordata; Mammalia; Artiodactyla; Bovidae.
CCCUGUAUGGCUCAGAUGGUAAAGCAUCUGCCUGCAAUGCAGAAGACCCGGGUUCGAUCCCAGGGUUGGGA